This 305-nucleotide ribosomal RNA is filed under the name uncultured bacterium. Its description in RNAcentral is "bacterial SSU rRNA". It matches the Rfam family "Bacterial small subunit ribosomal RNA", at positions 337 to 656 of the family's 1533-position model. The record is from RNAcentral.
UCCUACGGGGGGCAGCAGUGGGGAAUAUUGGGCAAUGGGCGCAAGCCUGACCCAGCAACGCCGCGUGAAGGAAGAAGGCCCUCGGGUUGUAAACUUCUUUUGUCAGGGACGAAGAAAGUGACGGUACCUGACGAAUAAGCCACGGCUAACUACGUGCCAGCAGCCGCGGUAAUACGUAGGUGGCAAGCGUUAUCCGGAUUUACUGGGUGUAAAGGGCGUGUAGGCGGGACUGCAAGUCAGAUGUGAAAUUCCAGGGCUCAACCCUGGAACUGCAUUUGAAACUGUAGUUCUUGAGUGAUGGAGAG